GAUGAACGCUGGCGGCGUGCCUAAUACAUGCAAGUCGAGCGAACAGACGAGGAGCUUGCUCCUCUGACGUUAGCGGCGGACGGGUGAGUAACACGUGGAUAACCUACCUAUAAGACUGGGAUAACUUCGGGAAACCGGAGCUAAUACCGGAUAAUAUAUUGAACCGCAUGGUUCAAUAGUGAAAGACGGUUUUGCUGUCACUUAUAGAUGGAUCCGCGCCGCAUUAGCUAGUUGGUAAGGUAACGGCUUACCAAGGCAACGAUGCGUAGCCGACCUGAGAGGGUGAUCGGCCACACUGGAACUGAGACACGGUCCAGACUCCUACGGGAGGCAGCAGUAGGGAAUCUUCCGCAAUGGGCGAAAGCCUGACCGAGCAACGCCGCGUGAGUGAUGAAGGUCUUCGGAUCGUAAAACUCUGUUAUUAGGGAAGAACAAAUGUGUAAGUAACUAUGCACGUCUUGACGGUACCUAAUCAGAAAGCCACGGCCAACUACGUG
RNAcentral lists this ribosomal RNA (497 nucleotides) under uncultured bacterium. RNAcentral's name for it is "partial 16S ribosomal RNA". It matches the Rfam family "Bacterial small subunit ribosomal RNA", at positions 28 to 507 of the family's 1533-position model. The record is from RNAcentral.